RNAcentral lists this ribosomal RNA (492 nucleotides) under uncultured bacterium. RNAcentral describes it as "partial 16S ribosomal RNA". It matches the Rfam family "Bacterial small subunit ribosomal RNA", at positions 29 to 507 of the family's 1533-position model. The record is from RNAcentral.
AGUGAACGCUGGCGGUAGGCCUAACACAUGCAAGUCGAACGGCAGCACAGUAAGAGCUUGCUCUUACGGGUGGCGAGUGGCGGACGGGUGAGGAAUACAUCGGAAUCUACUUUUUCGUGGGGGAUAACGUAGGGAAACUUACGCUAAUACCGCAUACGACCUACGGGUGAAAGCAGGGGAUCUUCGGACCUUGCGCGAUUGACUGAGCCGAUGUCGGAUUAGCUAGUUGGCGGGGUAAAGGCCCACCAAGGCGACGAUCCGUAGCUGGUCUGAGAGGAUGAUCGGCCACACUGGAGCUGAGACACGGUCCAGACUCCUACGGGAGGCAGCAGUGGGGAAUAUUGGACAAUGGGCGCAAGCCUGAUCCAGCCAUACCGCGUGGGUGAAGAAGGCCUUCGGGUUGUAAAGCCCUUUUGUUGGGAAAGAAAAGCAGCAGGUUAAUACCCCGCUGUUCUGACGGUACCCAAAGAAUAAGCACCGGCUAACUUCGUG